Long non-coding RNA from Scylla paramamosain (green mud crab), 1124 nucleotides. RefSeq lists it as uncharacterized. The record is from RefSeq and is a predicted model, not a curated record. The transcript has 2 exons. Lineage: Eukaryota; Metazoa; Arthropoda; Malacostraca; Decapoda; Portunidae.
CUGUCCUGUUCGUACGCGUGGCAGACUUGGUUAAUCUUACUCACCGGCAAAAUACAAACGUUCGGACUAUACUUUUGACUUCAGAUUAUAAUCAAACAACCAUCAUGCUAUGUGUACGUUAAUAUUAUAUUAAAUAGGUGUUAGUUAAAUGUAUGUUGCCUUACCAACAUUUUAUGCAUCAUCAUAUUAUCAUAAACCCAUUCUUUCUUUUUUUUUCUUUUUUUUUUUUUUAGUGCUUAUACUUUUUUUUUUAUCAAUAUGUUACCAGUUUGUCUAGUUAUUCAAAGAGGUGCAUCGCCCUGAAAUGGGAAGAAGGUUAUGCACAGCCGUAAAAUGAGGGGCAAGGAAGCAUAACUUACCUUCAACCACAUAAUUCCGAACAAAUUUCCGUAUGCCACUUUUCUCAUACUCUGCCACCUAAUCUAAUGAUGUGACUAAGGUGAAUCCACUGAUCUUUGCCUAGGUGAACCAUGGUCUGAAGGCCAAAAGAACAAAAAUUGUAAGCAUUAACACUGAUGCAGCAAUUACUGAAUCUACAGAUUUACAUUUUCGUUUUCUUUUCAUCCAUUACCACUCAACUGGUUGUCUGUCUGCCUUCACUGAGACAAGUAACAAUUAUACGUUUUAUUCUGCUUCCCAUGAUAGUGUUAUUGCCAUUUACUUAUUUUUGAGAUAUCUACACACUAUCAAGGAGAAACUGGAGUUACACAAAUUGCGGAAUACUACAGCCAGUCCUUCAUCCACACCUUUCUACUUUGGUUCCAUGCUUUCAUGGGCAAGGAUAAUAACAAUGCAUGUAGCCUCCCUACUCAUCUGGACUGGAUGAAGCACAUGCAACUGAUGAUUGCACUAUCCCAUUACUAGUGUGUGGCCAAAACCAAUGACUGAACUUUGUGCAACCACCAUGUUGCACAAUUAUGACUGCUAGUGUAUGAAGAUCUUAAUGGAUGUUUCAGUGUUUCAUGGGAAUGUUACCUGCAUGUCGAUCGCUGGGUCAUUUGCUGCUGCUGGGAAAGGAUGACCACCACACCAAUUAUAAAAAGAUAAUUGUCUUCAACUUUUUUUUGGCAAGGAAGUAAUGCUAAUACUGUAAACUGCAAUACAGAAUUGAAUUGCAAUACAAA